AGUGGCAGACGGGUGAGUAACAUGUAGGUAUCUACCCUUUGGCCUGGAAUAACACGAGGAAACUUGUGCUAAUACUGGAUAAGUCUUUACGGAGAAAGCUUUAUGCACCAUUGGAUGAGCCUACACUUGAUUAGUUUGUUGGUGGGGUAAUGGCCUACCAAGACUUUGAUCAAUAGCUGAUUUGAGAGGAUGAUCAGCCACAUUGGGACUGAGACACGGCCCAAACUCCUACGGGAGGCAGCAGUGGGGAAUCUUGCACAAUGGAGGAAACUCUGAUGCAGCGAUGCCGCGUGAGUGAAGAAGGCCUUUGGGUUGUAAAGCUCUUUCGUCGGGGAAGAAAAUGACUGUACCCGAAUAAGAAGGUCCGGCUAACUUCGUGCCAGCAGCCGCGGUAAUACGAAGGGACCUAGCGUAGUUCGGAAUUACUGGGCUUAAAGAGUCCGUAGGUGGUUGAAAAAGUUGGUGGUGAAAUCCCAGAGCUUAACUCUGGAACUGCCAUCAAAACUUUUCAGCUAGAGUUUGAUAGAGGAAAGCAGAAUUUCUAGUGUAGAGGUGAAAUUCGUAGAUAUUAGAAAGAAUACCAAUUGCGAAGGCAGCUUUCUGGAUCAUUACUGACACUGAGGAACGAAAGCAUGGGUAGCGAAGAGGAUUAGAUACCCUCGUAGUCCAUGCCGUAAACGAUGUGUGUUAGACGUUGGAAAUUUAUUUUCAGUGUCGCAGCGAAAGCGAUAAACACACCGCCUGGGGAGUAC
This 752-nucleotide ribosomal RNA is filed under the name uncultured marine bacterium. RNAcentral describes it as "bacterial SSU rRNA". It matches the Rfam family "Bacterial small subunit ribosomal RNA", at positions 94 to 883 of the family's 1533-position model. The record is from RNAcentral.